AUUGAACGCUGGCGGAAUGCUUUACACAUGCAAGUCGAACGGCAGCACGGACUUCGGUCUGGUGGCGAGUGGCGAACGGGUGAGUAAUGUAUCGGAACGUGCCCAGUCGUGGGGGAUAACGUAGUGAAAAUUACGCUAAUACCGCAUACGAUCUAUGGAUGAAAGCGGGGGAUCGCAAGACCUCGCGCGAUUGGAUCGGCCGAUAUCAGAUUAGGUAGUUGGUGGGGUAAAGGCCCACCAAGCCAACGAUCUGUAGCUGGUCUGAGAGGACGACCAGCCACACUGGAACUGAGACACGGUCCAGACUCCUACGGGAGGCAGCAGUGGGGAAUAUUGGACAAUGGGCGAAAGCCUGAUCCAGCCAUUCCGCGUGCAGGAUGAAGGCCCUCGGGUUGUAAACUGCUUUUGUACAGAACGAAAAGGUUUCUACUAAUACUAGGAGCUCAUGACGGUACUGUAAGAAUAAGCACCGGCUAACUACGUGCCAGCAGCCGCGGUAA
RNAcentral lists this ribosomal RNA (500 nucleotides) under uncultured bacterium. Its description in RNAcentral is "partial 16S ribosomal RNA". It matches the Rfam family "Bacterial small subunit ribosomal RNA", at positions 30 to 523 of the family's 1533-position model. The record is from RNAcentral.